CAGCACAGGUGCAAAAUCUCUAUCGCGGGGGUCGGCACCAGGUGUCGCCUGGUAUCGUUCCGGUUUGAGACAAGCAUCCUGGGAUGCGGGGAGGACUCCCAGGCCCCCUAUGAACAGGAAACCAGGAACAGCUGGCCAAGGAGUUCACUAGGCUGCUUAGAGAAGCCAUGGAUGGAGUCCAGGCCUUUUUCUAUGGAUACAGUUAAGUACAGCACCCAAGAAGCCAAGAAGAUAGAAAACAUGAGAAAUAUCUUACCUGGCACACCAUGAUUCUAGCUGGUACCUGUUGUUCCUGAAGCCAUGACAACGUGAGCCAGAUAAUAGAUAAACCAUAUUCACGAGAAUUCUGAUUGGCCAUGGAUAUAUCUGGUCCUAGAACAAGAGGAAGUCUUGUUAAGCAUUCCCCAGAGAGAAGAGGUCUUUCCAGGGCUACUAAUGCUCUCUCCUGCAGGGUAAAGUGCCUUCUCAACUGGAUGCCCACGCAAUGACAUUGCUUCCCUGGUGAGUUUCCCCUCUAUGACAGCUCGCAACUCCUGAGAACUGCUUUGUUACAAGACUGCCAUGCU
Molecule: long non-coding RNA, 566 nt
Filed under: Felis catus (domestic cat)
Lineage: Eukaryota; Metazoa; Chordata; Mammalia; Carnivora; Felidae
Description: lncRNA (ENSFCAG00000048730.1)
Source: RNAcentral